RNAcentral lists this Y RNA (114 nucleotides) under Microcebus murinus (gray mouse lemur). RNAcentral describes it as "Y RNA (ENSMICG00000046740.1)". It matches the Rfam family "Y RNA". Rfam says of the family: Y RNAs are components of the Ro ribonucleoprotein particle (Ro RNP), in association with Ro60 and La proteins. Lineage: Eukaryota; Metazoa; Chordata; Mammalia; Primates; Cheirogaleidae. The record is from Rfam by way of RNAcentral.
GGCUGGUCCGAAGGUAGUGAGUUAUCUCACCUGAUUGUUCACAGCCAGUUAUAGAUUGAACUCCUUGUUCUACUACUGGCCCCCUUCCUCACUACUGCACUUGACUAGUCUUAA